UAUUACCUUCCCCAGACCCCACCUGGUGGGAGUAUACUGGGUAGUUGUUGUUGUUGUUCUGGCUUAAUAGCAAUGCUUUGUUGGCAUUCAGUACCUGUAUCUUAUCUGUACCAAUGAUUAUUCUGAUAUUCUGAUGUUAUUUUUCCUGAACUACUUCAUCCAAAAAAAAAAAAAAACACUGAACUAAAGGAUAUUAUGGAGAAUUGGAUUAGCGAGGGAGACAAUAAGUGUUCAGUUUGGAGAAAUUUAACCUGGUUAUCACUAAAUUCAAAUUAAAUUGCCUAUAGACUAUAGUUCUUUAAACUUACAGUUGGCUUCCAAAUACUGGUAUAUGCAUAGUCUCUGCUGCCUUUGGAUCAUAGUUGUUUCUAUUCCCAAAGAUAGAAAACAUAAGGUUCCAUUUUUAUCUACAGUUGGCUUCCAAAUGCUGGUAUAUGCAUAGUCUCUGCUGCCUUUGGAUCAUAGUUGUUUCUAGUCCCAAAGAUAGAAAACAUAAGGUUCCAUUUUUAUCUGCAGUUUGCUUUAUGUGGUGAAUCAUAAUAAACUGCGAUUGUUUACUUUCUCAAAAGAUUAAAACUUUGAUUGUUUAUGACUAUUGAAUUGGUUUGGCAAGAGAGAUAAUGAAUAUUCAGUUUCUUUUGGGGAAAUUUAACCUGGUUAUCACUAAAUUCAAAUAUAAUUGCCUAUAGUUCUAAAAAUUUUAGUUGGCUUGCAAAUGCUGGUAAAUGUGUAGUCUCCGCCGCCUUUGGAUCAUUGUUGUUUCUAGCUUCUCUUGGUCCCAAAGAUAGAAAACAUAAGUCAAUUUUUAUCUGCAGUUUGAUUCAGAUCUUAUGUGGUGAAUCAUAACAAACUGCUAUUGUUUACUUUCUAAAAAAUAAAACUGUGAUUGUUU
Molecule: long non-coding RNA, 892 nt
Filed under: Nicotiana benthamiana
Lineage: Eukaryota; Viridiplantae; Streptophyta; Magnoliopsida; Solanales; Solanaceae
Description: long non-coding RNA (NBEN_LNC041573)
Source: RNAcentral